GCGUGAGUGACGAAGGCCUUAGGGUUGUAAAGCUCUUUUGUCGGGGACGAUAAUGACGGUACCCGAAGAAUAAGCUCCGGCUAACUUCGUGCCAGCAGCCGCGGUAAUACGAAGGGAGCUAGCGUUGUUCGGAAUCACUGGGCGUAAAGCGCACGUAGGCGGAUUUGUAAGUCAGGGGUGAAAUCCCGGGGCUCAACCUCGGAACUGCCUCUGAUACUGCAGGUCUCGAAUCCGGUAGAGGUGGGUGGAAUUCCUAGUGUAGAGGUGAAAUUCGU
Molecule: ribosomal RNA, 275 nt
Filed under: uncultured bacterium
Lineage: Bacteria
Description: partial 16S ribosomal RNA
Rfam family: Bacterial small subunit ribosomal RNA
Source: RNAcentral